ACAAUAUUUCAAGUACGAAUAUUGCACUUGAAAUAAACAGUUCACAUCUCACAAAAUAAAAUGCAGACAGGAAUAGCUGUCAUUAAGUAGCUUUCAUUGCAAAAUUAGGUUAGUCACAGGCACUACCAGUGUUGUCAAUGGCAAAAGGCACUAAAAGACGCCAAGCCUGUAAAAUGCACGAGGCACUAGGUACUCGCCUAGGCAGCACUUCAUUAAAAUUCAUCGCCUAAGGCUAAUAGAGGUGUUGUGGCCUUGUUUGUAGCGCUUAAGCAAGCACCUACACGCCUUGUCACGGGGCACUACCAUUACUCAUUGUCAUCUAUUACAAAAAUCACAUUAGUUUCCCAAGUAAAAGGUUUUCCCCAUA
This is a long non-coding RNA of Populus euphratica (Euphrates poplar), 367 nucleotides long. RefSeq lists it as uncharacterized. NCBI's taxonomy places the organism in Eukaryota, Viridiplantae, Streptophyta, Magnoliopsida, Malpighiales, Salicaceae. The transcript is spliced from 2 exons. The record is from RefSeq and is a predicted model, not a curated record.